This 255-nucleotide ribosomal RNA is filed under the name uncultured bacterium. Its description in RNAcentral is "partial 16S ribosomal RNA". It matches the Rfam family "Bacterial small subunit ribosomal RNA", at positions 524 to 776 of the family's 1533-position model. The record is from RNAcentral.
UACAGAGGUCUCAAGCGUUGUUCGGAUUCAUUGGGCGUAAAGGGUGUGUAGGUGGCGCCGUAAGUUGGGGUGUGAAAUCUCGGGGCUUAACUCCGAAACUGCAUUCCAUACUGCGGUGCUUGAGGACUGGAGAGGAGACUGGAAUUCAUGGUGUAGCAGUGAAAAUGCGUAGAGAUCAUGAGGAAGACCAGUGGCGAAGGCGGGUCUCUGGGCAUUAACUGACGCUGAGGAGCGAAAGCAUGGGGAGCGAACAGG